Molecule: ribosomal RNA, 254 nt
Filed under: uncultured bacterium
Lineage: Bacteria
Description: partial 16S ribosomal RNA
Rfam family: Bacterial small subunit ribosomal RNA
Source: RNAcentral
CACGUAGGGUGCGAGCGUUGUCCGGAAUUAUUGAGCGUAAAGAGCUCGUAGGCGGUGUGUCGCGUCGGCCGUGAAAACCUGGGGCUUAACUCUGGGCUUGCGGUCGAUACGGGCAUCACUGGAGUUCGGCAGGGGAGACUGGAAUUCCUGGUGUAGCGGUGAAAUGCGCAGAUAUCAGGAGGAACACCGGUGGCGAAGGCGGGUCUCUGGGCCGAUACUGACGCUGAGGAGCGAAAGCGUGGGGAGCGAACAGG